This 215-nucleotide ribosomal RNA is filed under the name uncultured soil bacterium. RNAcentral describes it as "partial 16S ribosomal RNA". It matches the Rfam family "Bacterial small subunit ribosomal RNA", at positions 26 to 269 of the family's 1533-position model. The record is from RNAcentral.
AGAAUGAACGCUGGCGGCAUGCCUAACACAUGCAAGUCGAACGAAGCCUUCGGGCUUAGUGGCGCACGGGUGCGUAACGCGUGGGAAUCUGCCCCUCGGUUCGGAAUAACAGUUAGAAAUGACUGCUAAUACCGGAUGAUGACGAAAGUCCAAAGAUUUAUCGCCGAGGGAUGACGCCCGCGUAGGAUUAGCUUGUUGGUGAAGUAAAGCUCACG